Molecule: ribosomal RNA, 484 nt
Filed under: uncultured bacterium
Lineage: Bacteria
Description: partial 16S ribosomal RNA
Rfam family: Bacterial small subunit ribosomal RNA
Source: RNAcentral
AUUGAACGCUAGCGGGAUGCUUUACACAUGCAAGUCGAACGGCAGCGCGGACUUCGGUCUGGCGGCGAGUGGCGAACGGGUGAGUAAUGUAUCGGAACGUGCCCAGCAGCGGGGGAUAACUACGCGAAAGCGUAGCUAAUACCGCAUACGCCCUACGGGGGAAAGCAGGGGAUCGUAAGACCUUGCCCGAUUUGAGCGGCCGAUAUCGGAUUAGCUAGUUGGUGAGGUAACGGCUCACCAAGGCGACGAUCCGUAGCUGGUUUGAGAGGACGACCAGCCACACUGGGACUGAGACACGGCCCAGACUCCUACGGGAGGCAGCAGUGGGGAAUUUUGGGCAAUGGGGGCAAACCUGAUCCAGCCAUCCCGCGUGUGCGAUGAAGGCCUUCGGGUUGUAAAGCACUUUUGGCAGGAAAGAAACGUCGCGGGCUAAUACCCCGUGGAACUGACGGUACCUGCAGAAUAAGCACCGGCUAACUACGUG